This 1105-nucleotide ribosomal RNA is filed under the name uncultured bacterium. RNAcentral's name for it is "bacterial SSU rRNA". It matches the Rfam family "Bacterial small subunit ribosomal RNA", at positions 294 to 1401 of the family's 1533-position model. The record is from RNAcentral.
GAGAGGAAGGUCCCCCACACUGGUACUGAGACACGGACCAGACUCCUACGGGAGGCAGCAGUGAGGAAUAUUGGUCAAUGGACGGAAGUCUGAACCAGCCAUGUCGCGUGCAGGAUGACUGCCCUAUGGGUUGUAAACUGCUUUUGUAUGGGAAGAAAGUGGGGUACGUGUACCCCUUUGCCGGUACCAUACGAAUAAGGAUCGGCUAACUCCGUGCCAGCAGCCGCGGUAAUACGGAGGAUCCGAGCGUUAUCCGGAUUUAUUGGGUUUAAAGGGUGCGUAGGCUGGGAAUUAAGUCAGUGGUGAAAGUUUGCGGCUCAACCGUAAAAUUGCCGUUGAUACUGGUUCUCUUGAGUACAUUUGAGGCAGGCGGAAUGUGGUGUGUAGCGGUGAAAUGCAUAGAUAUACCACAGAACACCGAUUGCGAAGGCAGCUUGCUAAGAUGUGACUGACGCUGAAGCACGAAAGCAUGGGGAUCAAACAGGAUUAGAUACCCUGGUAGUCCAUGCUGUAAACGAAGAUCACUAGCUGUUUUCGAUAUAUAGUAAGCGGCACAGGGAAACCCCUAAGUGAUCCACCCGGGGAGUACGUUGGCGACAAUGAAACUCAAAGGAAAAGACGGGGGCCCGCACAAGCGGAGGAACAUGUGGUUUAAUUCGAUGAUACGCGAGGAACCUUACCUGGGUUUAAAUGGGGAGUGACAGGCUUAGAGAUAGAUCUUUCUUCGGACACUCUUCAAGGUGCUGCAUGGUUGUCGUCAGCUCGUGCCGUGAGGUGUCGGGUUAAGUCCCAUAACGAGCGCAACCCACGUUGUCAGUUACCAGCACGUAGUGGUGGGGAGUCUGACAAGACUGCCGGUGUAAACCGCGAGGAAGGUGUGGAUGACGUCAAAUCAGCACGGCCCUCACAUCCAGGGCUACACACGUGUUACAAUGGCCGGUACAGAGGGCAGCUACACUGCGAAGUGAUGCCAAUCCCAUAAAACCGGUCUCAGUUCGGAUCGGAGUCUGCAACUCGACUCCGUGAAGCUGGAUUCGCUAGUAAUCGCGCAUCAGCCAUGGCGCGGUGAAUAAGAUCCCGGGCCUUGCACACACCGCCCGUCAAG